AGGUUGUGUUGGGGAAAUUUCCUCAAGAGCUUCUUGAAACGCUCCCAUGCUUCAUAGAGAUUCUCUGCAUUUUGAGCAAAGGCCAUGAUGUUAUUUUUCAGCUU
Molecule: small nucleolar RNA, 104 nt
Organism: Lotus japonicus
Lineage: Eukaryota; Viridiplantae; Streptophyta; Magnoliopsida; Fabales; Fabaceae
Source: RefSeq, a predicted model, not a curated record